GAACGCUGGCGGCGUGCUUAACACAUGCAAGUCGAACGGAAAGGCCCUGCUUUUGUGGGGUGCUCGAGUGGCGAACGGGUGAGUAACACGUGAGUAACCUGCCCUUGACUUUGGGAUAACUUCAGGAAACUGGGGCUAAUACCGGAUAGGAGCUCCUGCUGCAUGGUGGGGGUUGGAAAGUUUCGGCGGUUGGGGAUGGACUCGCGGCUUAUCAGCUUGUUGGUGGGGUAGUGGCUUACCAAGGCUUUGACGGGUAGCCGGCCUGAGAGGGUGACCGGCCACAUUGGGACUGAGGUACGGCCCAGACUCCUACGGGAGGCAGCAGUGGGGAAUAUUGCACAAUGGGCGGAAGCCUGAUGCAGCAACGCCGCGUGCGGGAUGACGGCCUUCGGGUUGUAAACCGCUUUCGCCUGUGACGAAGCGUGAGUGACGGUAAUGGGUAAAGAAGCACCGGCUAACUACGUG
RNAcentral lists this ribosomal RNA (465 nucleotides) under uncultured bacterium. RNAcentral's name for it is "partial 16S ribosomal RNA". It matches the Rfam family "Bacterial small subunit ribosomal RNA", at positions 31 to 507 of the family's 1533-position model. The record is from RNAcentral.